RNAcentral lists this ribosomal RNA (500 nucleotides) under uncultured bacterium. Its description in RNAcentral is "partial 16S ribosomal RNA". It matches the Rfam family "Bacterial small subunit ribosomal RNA", at positions 29 to 523 of the family's 1533-position model. The record is from RNAcentral.
AUUGAACGCUGGCGGCAUGCCUUACACAUGCAAGUCGAGCGGUAGCGCGGGGGCAACCCUGGCGGCGAGCGGCGGACGGGUGAGUAAUACAUCGGAACGUGUCCUUUCGUGGGGGAUAACCAGUCGAAAGACUGGCUAAUACCGCAUGAGAUCUCACGAUGAAAGCGGGGGACCGCAAGGCCUCGCGCGAUUGGAGCGGCCGAUGUCGGAUUAGCUAGUUGGCGGGGUAAAAGCCCACCAAGGCGACGAUCCGUAGCUGGUUUGAGAGAACGACCAGCCACACGGGGACUGAGGCGAGGCCCGGGCUCCUACGGGAGGCAGCAGUGGGGAAUUUUGGACAAUGGGGGCAACCCUGAUCCAGCCAUGCCGCGUGUGUGAAGAAGGCCUUCGGGUUGUAAAGCACUUUCGGCCGGAACGAAAUCGCGCGGAUUAAUAACCCGCGUGGAUGACGGUACCGGAAGAAGAAGCACCGGCUAACUACGUGCCAGCCGCCGCCGUAA